GUAAAUUGUUAAAGUAUUUUCAUUCAAUGAUGAAUAGAUUUUUGUGUGAUCUAGUAAUAUAUAGGAAAUUUUCAUGUUCACCACUUUAUUGGUACCAUUAUUCAAGUUUACCAAUCACUAAAGAGAUAUUUUCAAAAAUAUAUUCUUUAUUAAGAGGCACAAGACAUGUAUACCCUUAAUAUAUAUAAUAAAUAAUUAUUUAAAUAAAUAAAAUAUGAAAAAAUAUUUUUUUUUAUGUUUUUGAAUUGUAUUUUUUUAAACUCGAUUUUUUUUUACAAAUUUUGUUUCUGAUUUUUUUUUAUUGAAAUGCAA
This 312-nucleotide long non-coding RNA is filed under the name Brassica rapa (field mustard). RNAcentral describes it as "long non-coding RNA (BRAP_LNC002095)". Lineage: Eukaryota; Viridiplantae; Streptophyta; Magnoliopsida; Brassicales; Brassicaceae. The record is from RNAcentral.